ACCACAACAGGCUGAUGCUAGA
This 22-nucleotide small nuclear RNA is filed under the name Arabidopsis thaliana (thale cress). RNAcentral's name for it is "snRNA_12345". The record is from RNAcentral. Lineage: Eukaryota; Viridiplantae; Streptophyta; Magnoliopsida; Brassicales; Brassicaceae.